UUUUUAACCGAAACCAGACUUCUUUUUUCAUUAAAUUCAUUGCAGACUCCAACAAUACAACGUCGGCGAUGAAGAUACACACAAUUCCAUUAUCUUGAUUUCAAUUUUAAUUAAUACUCUUUUCUAUUUAUUUUCCAUCAGACUCAGAGAAACAUUCACGUGCCUUGCUCUGUUUUUUCUCUCAUUGCCCAUUUCGUUUUUCUAUUUUAUUUUAUUUGCCUUUUUUGUUUCCCCUUUUUCGCAACCGAUUUCGCUUUUUCUUCUGGUUUCUGUUUGUUUGUGGGGAAAGAUUGUGGGCUGUUACGUUUUCUUCUUGUAUAUAAUAGUGGAGGGGCUUCUCAAUUUGAGAAAACAGAGAGAAAAUGGAAGGAGGAAAGCAAACCAGCUCUUCACUUGCCUCUGAUCUCUUUGGGGUCAAGGAUUCUUCUUCUUCUUCUUCUGGGAUUUUUGGUUCCAUGUUUCCGCCGCCUCCAAAGGUUGUGGGACAAGAGUAUUCUGGAACAGAGAAGAAGAUUAUAAGUGGAAAUCCAACUUGGACUGCAAAGAAUGGUGUUACAGAUAGAAAUGCAGUAGGAGGGCAAAACCAGAGGAAGGACGACAUCUCGUAUUACACGGACGAGAAGGUGCAGCCCUUUCACUACAGCUCCUCGAUAUACUACGGUGGUCAAGAUGUUUAUUCUCGACCCGAGACCGCUCAGAAUCCCGGGACUAGUUUCAACAAAGAUAACGGAGGGGAAGACGACUCGGGCAGUGCUUCACGAGGGAAUUGGUGGCAGGGUGCGUCGUUUAUUUUGCGCGAUGUGAUAAAAUAUGCAAUCUAGUAUUUAAAGAAUAAGAUGGAAUCCAUUGAUGGAAUGCUCUAAAUUAUUUUAUGAAUGCAUCAUAUUGACUAUUUUUUUGGCAGGAUCUCUGUACUAUUAAGACCUAAAUACAUGUAACUUAUUAAGGCAUAAAUAUAUUAAGCAGUGCUCCUUAUAAUGAAGAAACCAGAUGUUUGGUGACAGUUAUUAUAUCAAAACGCCAGCUUCUCUUAGCCGCAGUCAAUAUUUUGUAACUGUAGCCGAGUAAACUUCAUUUGUUCCCUUUUCUAUAAAUAGAUAAACCUCAUAAUAUUGUAGUAGUGGAGUACUAUAAUUCAUCCUUUUUUUGAUGUGCAAGAUAUAAUGAAAGAGGGAGUUCAAUUAUUUGUUA
RNA transcript from Salvia splendens (bonfire salvia), 1191 nucleotides. RefSeq lists it as uncharacterized. NCBI's taxonomy places the organism in Eukaryota, Viridiplantae, Streptophyta, Magnoliopsida, Lamiales, Lamiaceae. The record is from RefSeq and is a predicted model, not a curated record. The transcript is spliced from 5 exons.